This 516-nucleotide ribosomal RNA is filed under the name Triticum aestivum (bread wheat). RNAcentral's name for it is "partial small subunit ribosomal RNA". Lineage: Eukaryota; Viridiplantae; Streptophyta; Magnoliopsida; Poales; Poaceae. The record is from RNAcentral.
AUGGUGGACCAUAGAUGCACCAAGCAUUUCCCAAAAAGAUACAAUGUCAGCACUACCAUUGACGAGGACGGAUUUCCAGUAUAUAAAAGGAGGGAUGACGGAAGGCAGGUCAAAAAGGGAGGGGUGAUGCUCGACAACAGAUUUGUUGUGCCGUACAACCGGAACCUUCUGGUCAAGUAUCAAGCUCGCAUAAAUGUCGAGUGGUGCAAUAGGUCCAGAUCAAUCAAGUACCUAUUUAAGUAUAUCCAUAAAGAUGACGACCAUGUUACAGCCUUGCUCAAGGAAAGGGGCACGGCAAACGAAACUGACGAGAUCAAGAAAUACCUAGAGAUGAGAUACAUAUCAACAUCAGAAGCAUGCUGGAGGAUAUUUCAGUUUGAUCUUCAGUAUCGCAAUCCAGCAGUUAAGAGGCUACCUUUCCAUCUUGAAAAUGAGCAACAAGUCAUUUUUCCAGACUCCACUGAUCUUGAAAAGAUAGUAACAAGGGACGGAUCUAAAAUGACCAAGUUCACUUAG